GUCCAGCUGACGAGUCCCAAAUACGACGAAACGCGCGUCCUGGAU
Molecule: non-coding RNA, 45 nt
Organism: Schistosoma curassoni
Lineage: Eukaryota; Metazoa; Platyhelminthes; Trematoda; Strigeidida; Schistosomatidae
Source: Rfam